CCGGAAUAAGCCCCGGCUAACUACGUGCCAGCAGCCACGGUAACACGUAGGGGGCGAGCGUUGUUCGGAAUCAUUGGGCGUAAAGGGCGCGCAGGCGGCCCUGCAAGUCGGAUGUGAAAGAUCAAGGCUCAACCUUGACAGGCCAUUCGAAACUGUGGGGCUUGAGUGUCAGAGGGGAAAGUGGAAUUCCUAGUGGAGCGGUAAAAUGCGCAGAUAUUAGGAGGAACACCGGUGGCGAAGGCGACUUUCUGGCUGACAACUGACGCUGAGGCGCGAAAGCGUGGGGAACAAUCAAGGGUAGAUACCCUGGUAGUCCACGCCGUAAACGAUGAUUACUAGGUGUAGGGGGUAUCGACUCCCUCUGUGCCACAGUUAACGCAUUAGGUAAUCCACCUGGGGAGUACGGCCGCAAGGUUAAAACUCAAAGGAAUUGACGGGGGCCCGCACAAGCAGUGGAGUAUGUGGAUUAAUUCGAGGCAACGCGAAGAACCUUACCAGGGCUUGACAUCUCCUGAAGACACAAGAGAUUGUGUUGUCCCUUCGGGGCAGGAAGACAGGUGGUGCAUGGUUGUCGUCAGCUCGUGUCGUGAGAUGUUCGGUUAAGUCCGGCAACGAGCGCAACCCCUGUGGCCAGUUGCCAUCAUUCAGUUGGGCACUCUGGCAAGACCGCCGUUAACAAAACGGAGGAAGGUGGGGAUGACGUCAAAUCAUCAUGCCCCUUAUGUCCUGGGCUUCACACGUACUACAAUGGUAGCAACAGAGGGCAGCCACACCGCGAGGUGGAGCGAAUCCCAAAAUGUUAUCUCAGUUCGGAUUGCAGGCUGAAACUCGCCUGCAUGAAGCAGGAAUUGCUAGUAAUGGCAGGUCAGCAUACUGCCGUGAAUACGUUCCCGGGC
RNAcentral lists this ribosomal RNA (896 nucleotides) under uncultured bacterium. Its description in RNAcentral is "bacterial SSU rRNA". It matches the Rfam family "Bacterial small subunit ribosomal RNA", at positions 481 to 1379 of the family's 1533-position model. The record is from RNAcentral.